UACGGAGGAUCCGAGCGUUAUCCGGAUUUAUUGGGUUUAAAGGGUGCGUAGGCGGUCAGGUAAGUUAGAGGUGAAAGCUCGAUGCUCAACAUCGAAACUGCCUCUGAUACUGUCUGACUAGAGUGUAGUUGCGGAAGGCGGAAUGUGUGGUGUAGCGGUGAAAUGCUUAGAUAUCACACAGAACACCGAUUGCGAAGGCAGCUUUCCAAGCUAUUACUGACGCUGAGGCACGAAAGCGUGGGGAGCGAACAGG
Molecule: ribosomal RNA, 253 nt
Filed under: uncultured bacterium
Lineage: Bacteria
Description: partial 16S ribosomal RNA
Rfam family: Bacterial small subunit ribosomal RNA
Source: RNAcentral